UACGAAGGGGGCUAGCGUUGCUCGGAAUUACUGGGCGUAAAGGGCGCGUAGGCGGACAGUUUAGUCAGAGGUGAAAGCCCAGGGCUCAACCUUGGAACUGCCUUUGAUACUGGCUGUCUUGAGUUCGGGAGAGGUGAGUGGAAUACCGAGUGUAGAGGUGAAAUUCGUAGAUAUUCGGCGGAACACCAGUGGCGAAGGCGACUUACUGGACAACUGUUGACGCUGAGGUGCGAAAGCGUGGGGAGCAAACAGG
Molecule: ribosomal RNA, 253 nt
Filed under: uncultured bacterium
Lineage: Bacteria
Description: partial 16S ribosomal RNA
Rfam family: Bacterial small subunit ribosomal RNA
Source: RNAcentral